RNAcentral lists this transfer RNA (89 nucleotides) under Pseudomonas amygdali pv. lachrymans str. M301315. RNAcentral describes it as "tRNA-Ser". It matches the Rfam family "tRNA". Rfam says of the family: Transfer RNA (tRNA) molecules are approximately 80 nucleotides in length. The record is from RNAcentral. Lineage: Bacteria; Pseudomonadati; Pseudomonadota; Gammaproteobacteria; Pseudomonadales; Pseudomonadaceae.
GGAAGGAUGCCGGAGUCAGGCUAAACGGGCCCGUUUCGAACGCGGGAGACCUUGCGGUUACAUGGGUUCAAAUCCCAUUCCUUCCUCCA